Molecule: long non-coding RNA, 12479 nt
Organism: Anolis carolinensis (green anole)
Lineage: Eukaryota; Metazoa; Chordata; Lepidosauria; Squamata; Anolidae
Exons: 2
Source: RefSeq, a predicted model, not a curated record
CUCUUCUGCCAGGCCUCCACGAGGACCUUCCACACAGACAUAUAACCCUGAAUAUCAAGGCAGAAAAUCCCGCAAUAUCUGCUUUGAACUGGAUUAGCUGAGUCCACACCCCAUAUAUUCCAGUUCAAAGUAUAUAAUGUGGGAUUUUAUUCAGCUGUGUGAAAGGGGCCCAAGAGUGGUGGCUUGGGUGUUGUACUGUGACAACUGAGGAUAGGGUUUGAUUCCCCACAGAACCAUGAACAACCUAGUCUGGGUGCUCUCUGGACCAUCCUCCAAAAAAUCGGGUGCCCUGACAAAUUUGUGAACAUCCUGCGACUCCUCCACAAUGACAUGAUGGCAACAGUCUUGGAUAGCAAUGGCUUGCAGCUGAAAGCCAAAACCAAAGUCACAACAACACCUGUUAUAGAACUCCAAUAUGCCGAUGAUAUCGUAGUCAGUGCUCAUUCAGAAGAAGACCUACAAACCAGUCUAAACGCCUUUGCAGAAGCAUACCAGAAGCUCGGCCUCUCAUUGAACAUUGAGAAAACCAAAGUGCUCUUCCAGCAGUCUCCAGCUAAUACCUCUACAAUACGAGAAAUGCAGCUUAAUGGUGUAACAUUAGAAAAUGUUGACCAUUUCUGCUAACUUGGCAGCCACCUCUCCACAAAAGUCAAGAUUGAUACUGAAGUACACGACCUCUUGAGCUCUGCAAGUGCAGACUUCUUCCAAAUGAAGCAGAGAGUGUUUGAGGAUCAGGACAUUGUAGGGAUAGCAAGGUGCUUGUUUAUAAAGCUAUUGCCCUCCCAACCUUGUUAGGUAAGUUAAAGGUAAAGGUUUCUCCUGAUGUUAAGUCCAAUCAUGUCCGACUUUGGGGGUUGGUGCUCAUCUCAAUUUCUAAGCCGAAGAGCUGGCGCUGUCCGUAGACACCUCCAAGGUCAUGUGGCUGGCAUGACUGCAUGGAGUGCCGUUACCUUCCCACCGGAGCAGUACCUAUUGAUCUACUCACAUUUGCAUGUUUUUGAACUGCUAGGUUGGCAGAAGCUGGGCCUAACUGUGGGCGCUCAUUCCGCUCCCCAACCCUGUUAUACAUCUGCAAAAUGUAGACUGUCUACAGACGUCACACUCAACUCCUGGAAUGAUUCCAUCAGCACUGCCUCCAAAAAAUCCUACAGAUCUCUUGGGAAGACAGGCGGACAAAUGUCAAUGUGCUGGAAGAAGCAAAGACCACCAGCACUGAAGCAAUGUUCUUACAUCAUCAAUUCUGCUGAACUGGCCACGUUGUCCCAAUGUCUGAUCACCGUCUCCCAAAACAGUUACUAUACUCCCAACUCAAGAAUGGAAAAUGGAAUGUUGGUGGACAGGAAAAGAUUUAAAGAUGAGUUUAAAGCUAACCUUAAAAACUGUGGCAUAGCUAUUGAGAACUGGGAAGCCCUGGCCCUUGAGUGCUCUAGCUGGAGGUUAGCUGUGACCAGCUGUGCUGUGGAAUUUGAAGAGGCACAAAUGGAUGGUGAAAGGGAGAAACGUGCCAAGGGGAAGGCUCAUCAAGCCAACCCUGACCAGGACUGGCUUCCACCUAGAAACCAAUGCCCUCACUGUGGAAGAACAUGUAGGUCAAGAAUAGAACUACAGUAGAGUCUCACUUAUCCAACAUAAACGAGCCAGCAGAACGUUGGAUAAGUGAAUAUGUUGGAUAAUAAGGAGGGAUUAAGGAAAAGCCUAUUAAACAUCAAAUUAGGUUAUGCUUUUACAAAUUAAGCACCAAAACAUCAUGUUAUACCACAAAUUUGACAGAAAAAGUAGUUCAAUACACAGUAAUGCUAUGUAGAAAUUACUGUAUUUACCAACUUGGCACCAAAAUAUCACGAUAUAUUGAAAACAUUGACUACAAAAAAGCGUUGGAUAAUCCAGAAUGUUGGAUAAGCGAGUGUUGGAUAAGUGAGACUCUACUGUACAUAGUCACUUACGUAUCCACCACCAGAACACUACUCCUGGGGGGCCUUCAUACUCGGACAGCGAGGGAUCGCCUGAGUAAUUAAUUCUAGGUGACCUCAGAAGUCAGUCUUUCAGCCUCAGAGGAAGCAAACAGAGGAAUUGAUCAGCAACUGAACACCAGGUUUUGUGGGUGAUUGACCUUGGCAUCAGAGAGUUACAGUUUACUUGUAUUCAGAGAACACUGGACUCAGCAAGUGAUGGAUCUGGACCAAACUUGGCACACAGACCUAACAUGGCCAACUGUAAAUAUUGGCAGGCUUUGCGGGUGAUUGAUCUAGGCAUCGGAGAGUUAUAGUUCACCCAUAUUCACAGAACACUGAACCCAGCUGACUAUAGAUCUGGACAAACUUGCUACACAGACUCAACAUGACGAACUGUGAGUGUUAACUGGUGAUGACCUUACAGUAUAAUUACCACUACUUCAAGCCAACAUUGAGCUCUUUUAGAGUACUGAAAACAACAGAAUUCAACAUGCCUUGUUCUUCGCAUUUGAUGCAGACUUUUGUCAAAGUGGUUAUAUGAAUUCACAUCAGCCACGAUUUUGAAGAGAUUCUGUGUGUAUAUGCUGUCUUGAAUAUCACUGCUUCUGGAUACAUAAGUCAAUUAUUAAAUUGUUAUGAUUCCUUUUCCAGCUUGACAUUUGUACAAAGACUGAAAAUGACAAACUCAACAUUCCAACUUUGAUAUCUACUGUCAGCUCUUCAUAGCCAUGAUUCUAUAUGCAUGGAUCCAGCCAAACAUGGCUUGAUAAUCUACCCCCAUCCACCCAAAACAUUCCCAAAAGCAAACCUUGAUUUUGCCAUUUUAUAUAAAUGGCACUAUUUUACUAUACUGUUGAAUAUAAUGAGACUUGAGAAUUCAUGGCUUAGUAUCUUCUGCCGUUUGGUUCCAGGAACCCUAAUAGAUUUUAGUAUGGAACCAAAUCACAGCAGAUACCAAGGACCCACUACAUUUUACUUUUAAAUAAAGUUAUUGCCAAAUUGUUAACAUAUCUAUGGAGUUUUGCUAUUUAAAUGGUUGCAUUUAUUAUUUUAUUUUGAUUGAUGUUAUCAUUGUUUUUGUUUUGAUAUUCGUUGUAAUUGUUUUAUUCUGCUUUUGUUUUGGGCAUUGCCCUAUGUUAGCCGCCCCAAGUCCCUUCGGGGAGAUGGUGGCGGGAUAGAAAAAUAAAUUAUUAUUAUUAUUAUUAUUAUUAUUAUUAUUAUUAUUCAACAAUGUGAUAAAUCUUUCACUUAUGAAUACAAGGGCUUGCUUCAUUACAAUAUACUUACAUGCUAUUUAUUUUUUAAAUAACACUACUUUAAAAACAUGUCCUUUUAUUUAUUUUUCAUCAUUCAGUGUUUACUCUGCAUUUUUUUUUACGGCACCAUCUGUCUUUGUCUGCUGGCAUCACAUCCAGCAGUUCCUGGCACAGGAAAUGUCAGACUUUAAAAAUAAUGUAUGUACCCUGCAUUUUACAUUGAGUUCUUGGGUCUCAUCUCAGAAAAGUGUUCCUAUUUUAAAAAACAGUAGGUCCUGUCUUACUUUUUUCUUCCAGUGAGUAAGAUAGGACCUACUGUUUUGUAAAAUGUUUUGUGAGAGUUGAUUGAAUUUUGCCAAAUUCAAUUAACAAAUAAUAUUUUUGCUGUGAAUUUGGAUGAGAUACACCCUCUCAACACACAGUUCUUAGUGCAAUUGUGCAAAUAAAACAGCAAUAGACAAAAUAUACUUGCAGAAGACGAGGCAGUCAGUGAACAUGUGACUAAUCAGCAAUACAGUUUAUAUGGCUGACUAGCUGAUUACUUCCCAUCCAUCUGCGGUCAGUUCUGUUUGCAUAUUUCCCCCAGGUUGAGAAACACUGUUUGAAAUGUAUGCUUAUCUGUGACCCUUUCUACACUACCCUAUAAUCUUCUCAUCCCAGAUUAUAUGGUAGUGGAGACUCAUAUAAUCCAGUUCAAAGCAGAUAACCUGGGAUCAGAUCCUGGGAUAUAAGGAUAGUGUAGAAGGGCCUGUGUUGUAGUUUUUAAUUAAGAUACUACUUAGACAACAUCUAUCAUCACAUAAAAGAAAGAUGAGAACUAUUAACUUGCAUGUGGACCCCAAAGCCUUUUUUUUCAGCCUCAAGGCUUUUUCUCUUCCCAAAUUGGUUGUGACAUUUCCAGGAAUAGCAAAUCAUAUCCAAUUGGCAGAAAUGGCAGAUCACAGCAAACCAAGAAAAUGCAACAAAAAUAACUUUUGGUUGCAUUUUUACUAUUUUUGGGGUCCAAUGCAAAAACUGGCACUUGUGGUUUGCAUACUUGGCCACUCUGAUAUAAAAUAUGAGGAAGAUGCAGUCUAUAUUAUGACAUUUAUAUCUAUUCUUCUUUCAAUGAAAUGAUUAAAAUAUCCAUGCAAUUUUCUUAUUUGAAUGGAUUUAUUUUUACAGUAAUAUGAUGGAGCCCCUGAUGGCGCAAUGGGUUCAACCUCUGAUCUGCUGUACUUGCUGACCAAAAGGUUAGCGAUUCGAAUCUGGGGAGCGGGGUGAGCUCUUGCUGUUAGCCCCAGCUUCUGCCAACCUAGCAGUUCGAAAACAUGCAAAUGUGAGUAGAUCAAUCAGUACCACUCCAGCAGGAAGGUAAUGGCGCUCCAUGCAGUCAUGCCAGCUACAUGACCUUGGAGGUGUCUAUAGACAACAGCAGCUCUUCAGCGUAGAAAAGGAGAUGAGCACCAACCCCCUGGGUCGCACACGACUAGACUUAAUGUCAGGAGAAAACCUUUACCUUUACUAUGAUGAUAAAUCAUUUACAUAUGAAUUCAAGACUGCUUCAUCUAUAUGCUAUUUCUUUUUAAAAAUAAGACUAACACACUUUUUAUUUAUUAUUUAUUAUCAAAAAUUAUUCAGAAUAAAAAUAAGGAGUUUUAGUUUGAAAUAUUUAUCUUGAUUUUAUCAACUUUGUCUGCUGAUAUCAUAGCCAACAAUCCCUGGCACAGGAAAUGUUAGGCUUUUAAAAUAAUGUAUGUAUUGCACAUGGUGUUCUUCUGUUUCAUCUCAGCAAUGAGUGGUCUUUUAAGUUCCAUCUUACAAAAUUAGUACUGGAAUGCUGAGCUAAUCCCAUAAACAAGCUGAUACAUAAUUGGUACCAAAAAUAGAAUGGACAGAAAAUGUACAACUCCUACUCUAACAUAUUUUUCCAUCUUAUAUGCAAAAUCAUGAAACAGAGAUGACUAAAUUAUUAUUCCUGUUUUGGCAGUAAACUUCUGUUUAAAACAGUGAUAUAUUGGGAGAGAUGUAUAUUAAUUUUUUUUCUUAAGUCUUGUUUGCAAUCAGACAGUUUAAUCUGCCAUUAGUGAUUCAUUUCAAAUCAGCUUCUCAUUGAACAUUCUUCUCAGCCUCAAGUCAGACAACACCGAACCUCUGCAGGUGUUAAGACAUGUUUGGCAUUCAGAGUGUCAGUGGAAGCUUUUCUAAAUGUCUAAUUAAAAUAGCUUCUUACUAGAGAAAACUCCUGUGCUCGGAGCCACCUUUAUAACAAGACUAUGCCUGGUUUUAGAAACAGGGAUGAGCAGUGGAGGGACUGUUAUGAGUUUUUUGGGGGGCAGAGUGCGGCGUAUGAAUUCAGAAGGAACUGUACUGUUGUUGUUAUGUGCCUUCAAAUCAACUGUGAUUUAUGGCAGCUCUGUCACAGAACUUUCUUGCCAAGAUUUAUUUGGAGAAGGGUUGCCAUUACCUUCUUCACAGAUAGAAUGUAAUUUGCUCCAGGUCAGUCAGUGGGCAUUAGAACCUUGGUCUUCCAUCAUCCUAGUGCAACACUCAAACUACUAAAUUAUGUAAAGAAAUUCUCUAUAUAUUCUUAACUCAGAACUUCUGGUGGUGCAGUGGUUUAAACUGCUGGGCUGCUGAACUUGCUGACCAAAAAGUCGGCAGUUCGAAUAUGAGGAGCAAGGUGAGCUCCUGCUGUUAGCCCCAGCUUCUGCCAACCUAACGGUUCAAAAACAUGCAAAUGUAAGAAGAUCAAUAGGUACUGCUCUGGCAGGAAGGUAAAAGUGCUCCAUGCAGUCAUGCUGGCCACAUGACCUUGAAGGCGUCUACGGAAAACACCGGCUCUUCAGCUUAGAAAUGGAGAUGAGCACCAACCCCCAGAGUCAGAAACAACUAGACUUAAUGUCAGGGGAAAACCUUUACCUUUACCUAAGCACUUCUAAGAAAUAUUGCCACUAUUUUAACUGCAUGGUGCUUCUGGUUUUUGCUGUAUAAUCACCCCAGAUUAUUCAUGGAAUUUUACAAGGUGUUUAUUUCUCUGCUUUUAUGUAGUCAGGAAAAAAUAUCAAGAUAGAGAUAGAAUAACUCCAGAACAUCUUUUGAUGUUGCCCAGCACCUGGAAUCACCCAUUCGAUCCUUCUUUUUAAAAUAUCCAUACAAGAAGCAGCUCUGGAACACCUGUAUUGCUAUUCUACAACCACACAUUCUAUGUGCAAGCUCAAAGAAAUGCCAGGAGUCAUAUAAAUGCAACAGAUCUUAGUGGAGGAAACCUAAGGUGCAAGGGGAAAACCCUAAAGACAACCAUAUGUAUGUCGAGAGGGAAGGUAUUAGUGUCUAGAGUCUAGACAGAAGAUGGUUUAUCUAGUUAAGAGAAGUACUUAUCUUUAUAAGUGUCAAGAACAUUUUCAAAGUGGUUUUUAAAAUUCAUACCCAGCCCCAUUCAUGUACUUAGCAUUCUGUUGUACCGAUUAUGUUGUUGCAAAAUCAAAUACGAUGUGCAAUUUUUUCAGUCUCAGUACCGCAUAUGAAUAUGGUAGAAUUGGCAGACCUGAACCUCAGGAUAAAAAUAAGUAUUGUACUUUUUCAUUUCGUAAGUGCAUUGGUCUAUUUCUUAAUACCUUCAAAGUCAAAGGGUAAAAUAAAAAUAGCUCAUGGAACAUCAUGAAUUAUGUAAGAAAACAUCCCGUUCUUUGUUACUCUGCAAAGUGUUCUCAAACUGUGUUUUAAAGCUUUGAAUAUGAUAGAAAAAGGAAACUGAGACAUGUGAUCCAUGCUCUAACACACUUCCUCACAAUUGUGAUACUUACACUUGCAACAUUAUCUGCAUACCUGGAAGUACACAAUUUACAUGGUAGUAAGGGUGUAAUACCUUGUUUCCAAAUAUGUUCAUUUUUUUGUAGCCUGGAGCAGAGCUUCACAUCUUGUGAAGCAUCCAUUCAUGUAUUCUGUCUGCGUCCAGUUUGUUUGGUUGUCUUAAGAUACCUGCUUGGACACACAUAACAACCACGCCUUUCAAUUGGGUAAUGAGGCUGUUAAGUUUGUGCACUUUGAGCUCAGUGGCUUUCUACACACGAGAUAAACUGGGAUUAUGGGGAAUUUUAUUUUCCAGAGUCUUAGGCCAAAUGCAACACAAAAUUUAGCUCCCCCCCCCCCUUUUUUAAACUUUCUUGUGUCUGGAGAGCCUUCAAUCUAUUCUGGUGGACGUGCAACAAUGCUUAAUACAGUAGAAUCUUGCUUAUCCAACAUAAACGGGCCGGCAGAACGUUGGAUAAGCAAAAAUGUUGGAUAGUAAGGAGGGAUUAAAGAGGAAUUAUUAAACAUCAAAUUAUGUUAUGAUUUUACAAAUUAAGUGCCAAAACAUCAUGUUUUACAAGUUGACAGAAAAAGUUGUUUAAUACACGGUAACGUUGUGUAGUAAUUACUGUAUUUAUGAAUUUAGCACCAAAACAUUGCAAUGUAUUGAAAACAUUGACUAAAAAAACACUGACUUACUAAAAGGCAGACUGCGUUGGAUAAUACGGAACGUUGGAUAAGCGAAGGUUGGAUAAGUAAGACUCUACUGUAAUAAUAAACUUUAUUUAUAUCUCGCCCCCUCUCCCCAAAGGGACUUGGGGCAGCUCACACCACUGAACAGUCAAGAAUGCUUCAUAUAAGGCAGCAGUAAAACAAUGAGGCAAACUGGGGUUUUUAUGGCGUUAAAGACAUGAUCAUUGUGUAUUCCAACAGUAUUGGAACUGAGGUAGGUAAAGGUAAAGGUUUUCCCCUGACAUUAAGUCUAGUCGCGUCCAACUAUAGAGAUUGGUGCUCAUCUCUUUCUAAGCCGAAGAGUCAGCGUUGUCCGUAGACACCUCCAAGGUCAUGUGGCGGGUAUGACUGCAUGGCAUGCCGUUACCUUUGGGUCAGAGUGGUACCUAUUGAUCUACUCACAUUUACAUGUUUUCGAACUGCUAGGUUGGCAGAAGCUGAGGCUAAUAGUGGGAGCCCAUCCUGCUCCCCGGAUUCGAAUUGCCAGCCUUUCGUCAGCAAGUUCAGCAACUCAGCGAUUUAACCUGCUGCACCAUCGGGGGCUCUGUAACUGAGGUAAGGAUGUAUUAUUCAGUCUGUAUAGAUUGAGCCUCCAUUGUCACCACAGGCAAUAUAUCAGUUAUGCUAUACAGAUAUGUCAGAUUUCUUUUCUCCACAGAGAUGAGUUAUGAUAGAUUACAAGUAUUAUGUCAAGCAAACUAUCUUAUGAAAAUAGAUUUGAGAGUGUAAUGUUGUAGCUAACAAGUUGCAUUUUGAUAUAUGCAAAGAUAUUUUCACUGGUGAAUUCUAUUUCAAGGCACACUGCAGGCCGGUCAUUUUAACUUGUUUUUUUUUUUCUGAUUUAGCACUCUAGAUAUUAUGACAUACUGGAUUAUUAAAACUAUGACUAGAAAGAAAAUGGUGAAUUGGUGAAGAAAAGGGGGAAACAGAGGAUAUGAUAAUAGGCAAUGCAUUUAUAUUAAUAUCAGAAAAUGUUUCAAAACAACAAAAGCAGCAUCAUUAUUCUUGAAGCUGACAUCUACAAAAUGCAGAUAUUACAUGUUGUGAAUAAGUAUUUGUCAAGUUUUAACCAUGUAAAAAGAUGCACUUGUAAACAGACUGAGUGUCCGUCGUCUGAAAUGUUGAAAUCUUUCAUAUUCAAAACUCUUCUACAUAGGAAGCUGAGAAAGUGAUACCUUUGCUUUCUGAUGGUUACAUGUACAAAAAGUUGGGUUUCAAUUAUAAGAUGUUUAAAAUAUUGUAUAAAAUCACCUUCAGGCUAUGUGUGAAAGGUUUCUUUAAAAUAUCAAUAAAUGUUGUGCUUCAUCUCCAAGAUAGCUCAUAAGGUACAUGUGUUGCAAAUACAGGUAUUCCAAAAUCCUAAAAAAUAAUCCCAAAUCCAAAGAGUUUUGGUUAGAGUAUAUUCAACCUGUAUUGUCUAUGACUCAUAUGGAGAUACCCUGGUGAGCACCUCCGAUUCUGGAAUAUAUUUCUCUGUAUGUUUAUUGUACAUAAGUGGUAUGUGCUACAUCCAGUUCAUUUGACAACAAUCAACAUGAAUGGUCCCUUUUUGCCAAACAAGAGAACUAUGCAUCAGCCGAGUCCUUCGGCAAGGAAUCCAUAUUCAAAUCAGAUUGAUAAGGGGCUAAUCAGGAAUUACCUGGUGAACCUAAAUGAAUUCAAAUCUAAGGACCAGUAUUGAAGGAACUUGCUGAUGUACUGGUAGAGCCACUUGCCAUCAGUUCUGAGAAAUAUUCGAAAGCAAGUGAGGUGCCAGAGGAUUAGAGAGAUGGCAAAAAGAAAGAUCCAGGAAACUGGAUGGGGGGGGGGGGGUAUUGUAAUUAGUUAUAUAGCAGUUUGUCUGCAGAUAUCUUGAUGACAAUGCAGUAAUCAGUAGGAGUUAGAAUGAGUUUUCAAGAAUAAAUCCUGCCAAACUAAUCUUCUAUCUUUUUUUGGGUUGGAUCCCUACGUAGUUUAGGAGAUGGUGGAAAUGAUGGAAUGUCACUUACCUGGAUUUCAGGGAACCAUUUGAUAAGGACCCUCAUCAUAUUUUGAUCCACAAAAUGAUUAAGUAUGAGCAGAAACAAUGUUGAAUGUUCUCAUAGUUGGUUGGAAAAUCCUGCUCACAAGAGUCAACUUCAGAUGGCUGCUCUUCAGAUUGGAAGGUCUUAGGUGUACUGCUUCAGGGUUCUGUCCUAGAACAUCAGUCUUCCACAUUAUCAAUGACGUAAAAUGAUACAAACCAGCAAGGGGAGGCUAACACAUUGGGAGAUAAAAACAGAAUUACUAAGGAUCUUGAUGGACUAAAAAAAGGGCAAAAAAUAAUAAUUUCAAGUUCAACAUGAUCUGGCUGUAUGAUACUGAAGCAAAGAAGAUGAAUACUAUAUUGGUCUGCCUCAAGAGUUGGAAGCAAUUGAACAAAUAAACAACAAGAAUCCAUUCUCUCUUUCAAGGGGUCAAUUAGCCCCCUGCUGCCCAGCCAUGCCCUUGGGCCCCCUUUCAGAUUCUUUACUGCCCUUCACCAGGUAGUUAUCUAAGAUGUGUUCUGCAUUUUGCAUAGCUGAUUUCACCCUGGAUCUGGGGUGCUGCUUCCCAUUUAAUCUGUGCUGCAGCAUACAUUGGCUGUGUGAGUUUUAUGGCCACUGCGUUCUUGAGUCAACUUGGAGGUGCUUUAUACAGUCAGUGUACAUGGGCCUUAAAAGAGUCAAAUCAUACAUGUUAAAACAGUAAUAGAAUAGAAUAGCAAACCUGCCAAUAGAAACCAAUUAAAUUUAGCACUGGGUUGAUGUGAGUUUUCUGGGCUGUAUGGCUAUGUUCCAGAAGCAUUCUUUCCUAUGGCAGGCAUCCUCAGAGGUUGUGAAGUCUCUUGAAAACUAGACAAGAGGGGUGUAUAUAUCUGUGCAAAGUCCAGGGUGGGAGAAAGAUCUAUUGUCUGUUUGAGACAAGUGUUAAUGUAGCAAUUGAUCACCUUGAUUAGCAUUGAAUGGCCUUGCAGUUUCAAGGAUUGGCUGCUUCCUGCCUGGGGGAAUUCUUUUUUUGGAGGUGUUAGCUGACCCUGAUUGUUUUUGUCUGGAAUUCUCUUGUCUUCUGAGUGUUGUUCUUUAUUUACUGUCCAGAUUUUAGAGUUUUUUAAAAAAUACUGGUAGCCAGAUUUUGUUCAUUUUCAUGAUUUCCUUCUUCCUGUUGAAAUUGUCCACAUGCUUAUGGAUUUCAAUGACUUCUCUUUGUAGACUGACAUGGCAGUCAUUAGAAUGAUCCAGCAUUUCUGUGUUCUCAGAUAAUAUGCUGUGUCCAGGUUGGUUCAUCAAGUGCUUUGCUAUGGCUGACUUCUCUGGUUGAAUUAGUUUGCAGUGCCUUUCGUGUUCCUUGAUUUGUGUUUGGGCAUUGCUGCAUUUGGUGGUUCCUAUGUAGACUUGUCCACAGCUGCAUGGUAUAUGGCAGACUCCUGCAGAGGUGAGAGGAUCUCUCUUGUCCUUUGCUGAACGUAGCAUUUGUUGGAUUUUCUUAGUGGGUCUGUAGGUAGUUUGCAGGUUGUGUUUUUUCAUCAGCUUCUCUAUGUGGUCCGUGGUUCCCUUGAUGUAUGGUAAGAACCCUUUCCGCUAGGUGGAUCUUUGUCUUUACUCUCGUGGCUUGUUCUUCUGAUGUCUGUGGUGGAGUAUCCAUUGGCCUGUAGAGCCUAGUUUAGGUGGUUCCGUUCACCUUGGAGGAGGUGGGGUUUUCAGAUUCUUUUUGGACUGCCAGGGCUUUGUGUUACUUUUAACUUGGAUAAUGUUUGGAGUUUUUAUGUAGGUUUCUAUUCAUGUGUGUAGGUUUUCUGUAAACUGUGUGGCCCAAUUACUGAUUGGAUAAAUCCCUCUUGUCUAGUUUUCAACAGACCUCACAACCUCUGAGGAUGCCUGCCAUAGAUGCAGGCAAAACAUCAGGGAAGAAUGCUUCUGGAACAUGGCUAUACAGCCUGGAAAAUUCACAACAACUCAGUGAUUCCAGCUAUGAAAGCCUUCGACAACACAUUAAAUUUAGUGCAUUAAGCAAAACAUUUCUGAAUUCAAGAAAUCAGGAGAACACUAACUUUGAAGGGCACCUUUCAAAAAACUAGAUGGGACUCGAGUACAUGCUUUCACAUUUCCAAUUUCUAUGUAUUAUUGUGAAAGCUAUCACUUAUUCUUCAGAUUUGGGUUAAUGAAGUUUUACAUGUAAUAAUUUAACUGCUAGCAGGUGAUUUUUUUUUUUAAAGAACACCCGCUGACCGUGUAGUAAUAAAUGUUGUGGCUUAAAAAAUUGGGCACAUAGAGACCACUUAAAGUACUUGUGUUUGAUCUAUAUAUUUGACUUUUAGCUGAAAAAAUACAAUAUUUUCAUUCUUAGUUUCACCAUGGGAGAAUAUAAAAAUUGGCAAAAAGUACGCUGUUAUUUGAUAUACGGUAUAUAUUCAGCCAGGAAAAUGGCAGAUCUGGUUUUAAACUAGCUGUUGCAAGGAAGGAGUAGAAAAUAAGGGGUUUAAAUGUUGUGUUCUAUAGUACUCCUAAUAUAUUGCACAUUUAUAAUUUUAUUCCUCUCCUCCAAGAUUGAAGAUUGAAGUGCCAUUAUGUUGCCCGUGGCCACUGGCUACACUUUUAUUUUGUGAUGUUCUGUUUUAUAGUUUUGAUGUAUUAAUUUUCUGUGAUUGGUAUGUAUUUUAUAUUGUUGUACUUUAUUGUAUAUUGUUGGGCUUGGUCCCCAUGUGAGCCACCCCGAGUCCCAUCAGGGAGAUGGGGCAGGAUAAAAGAAUAAAGUUGUUGUUAUUAUUAAA